Molecule: small nuclear RNA, 107 nt
Organism: Jaculus jaculus (lesser Egyptian jerboa)
Lineage: Eukaryota; Metazoa; Chordata; Mammalia; Rodentia; Dipodidae
Source: Ensembl
GUACUUGCUUCAGCAGCACAUAUACUAAAAUUGGAAUGAUACAUGGAAGAUUAGCAUGGCCCCUGUGCAAGAAUAACACACAAAUUUGUGAAGCAUUUCAUAUAUUU